RNAcentral lists this signal recognition particle RNA (293 nucleotides) under Microcebus murinus (gray mouse lemur). RNAcentral's name for it is "Metazoan signal recognition particle RNA (ENSMICG00000045629.1)". It matches the Rfam family "Metazoan signal recognition particle RNA". From Rfam's summary of the family: The signal recognition particle (SRP) is a universally conserved ribonucleoprotein. It is involved in the co-translational targeting of proteins to membranes. The record is from RNAcentral. Lineage: Eukaryota; Metazoa; Chordata; Mammalia; Primates; Cheirogaleidae.
GCCAGACAAGGUGGCGCACGCCUGUAGUCCCAGCUACUCGGGAAGCUGAGACGGGAGGAUUAUUUGAGCCCAGGAGUUCUGGGCUGUGGUGCACUAUGCCAAUCAGGUGUCCGCACUAAGUUCGGCAUCAAUAUGGUGACCUCCCGGGAGCGGGGGACCACCAAGUUGCCUAAGCGAACCAGCCCAGGUCGGAAAUGUUGCAAGUCAAAACUCCUGUGCUGAUCUGUAGUGGGAUUGUGCCUGUGAAUAGCCACUGCACUCCAGCCUGGGCAUCAUAGUGAGACCCCAUCUCU